Molecule: ribosomal RNA, 253 nt
Filed under: uncultured bacterium
Lineage: Bacteria
Description: partial 16S ribosomal RNA
Rfam family: Bacterial small subunit ribosomal RNA
Source: RNAcentral
UACGUAGGGUGCGAGCGUUAAUCGGAAUUACUGGGCGUAAAGCGUGCGCAGGCAGUUAUUUAAGACAGAUGUGAAAUCCCCGGGCUCAACCUGGGAACUGCAUUUGUGACUGCAAGGCUGGAGUGCGGCAGAGGGGGAUGGAAUUCCGCGUGUAGCAGUGAAAUGCGUAGAUAUGCGGAGGAACACCGAUGGCGAAGGCAAUCCCCUGGGCCUGCACUGACGCUCAUGCACGAAAGCGUGGGGAGCAAACAGG